This 154-nucleotide small nuclear RNA is filed under the name Ursus americanus (American black bear). RNAcentral describes it as "U2 spliceosomal RNA (ENSUAMG00000019902.1)". The stretch from base 1 to 101 matches the Rfam family "U2 spliceosomal RNA". From Rfam's summary of the family: U2 is a small nuclear RNA (snRNA) component of the spliceosome (involved in pre-mRNA splicing). Complementary binding between U2 snRNA (in an area lying towards the 5' end but 3' to hairpin I) and the branchpoint sequence (BPS) of the intron results the bulging out of an unpaired adenosine, on the BPS, which initiates a nucleophilic attack at the intronic 5' splice site, thus starting the first of two transesterification reactions that mediate splicing. The record is from RNAcentral. Lineage: Eukaryota; Metazoa; Chordata; Mammalia; Carnivora; Ursidae.
AUCGCUUCUUGGUCUUUUGGCUAAGAUCAAGUGUAGUAUCUGUUCUUAUCAGCUUUGCAGCUAGGGAAUUGGUUUUUAAAAAAACCUAUUUUUGAGUGUUUAGGUCAGAUGGGAGAGCUGAGAGAUACACUGUUUACUAACUAGCCCAGGGCUA